RNAcentral lists this ribosomal RNA (253 nucleotides) under uncultured bacterium. RNAcentral describes it as "partial 16S ribosomal RNA". It matches the Rfam family "Bacterial small subunit ribosomal RNA", at positions 524 to 776 of the family's 1533-position model. The record is from RNAcentral.
UACAGAGGUCUCAAGCGUUGUUCGGAUUCAUUGGGCGUAAAGGGCGCGUAGGCGGCGGGGUAAGUCGGGUGUGAAAUCUCAGAGCUCAACUCUGAAACUGCACUCGAUACUGCUCUGCUUGAGGACUGGAGAGGAGACUGGAAUUCCUGGUGUAGCGGUGAAAUGCGCAGAUAUCAGGAGGAACACCGGUGGCGAAGGCGGGUCUCUGGGCCGAUACUGACGCUGAGGAGCGAAAGCGUGGGGAGCGAACAGG